GUCGCCCUGGAGUCAACAAGUCCCUGCUUCUCCUAGGAGUACAGGAACGGCGUUUGUCCAUCGAGCACAGACUGGCAGCUGAUAAGGGUUGCAUUAACUCCACAGGGGUGACAUAACAAUUACUUUAAAUAGAUGACUUUAACGGAGAAUUAUCUGUUCCUCCCACAGCUCAAGAAGCCAGACGUCUAUGAUCAAGGUGUCGUUCUCGGGUACAUUGCCACAGCAACAGGAAAGAAACCAAGACACAGCUCGAAGCCAACCUCUGCCCCACCACUAAACAGUGCUUAGAGGCUCUCCCCUGAGGCAUUGUCCCCAGCCGUUGGAGUUGGGGCUACCAUAAUCAGCGCGACUUAUAUCUUUGCUCAGAUAAUUUCAUCUGGCAAGUUUUCAUUCUGAGUGGCAUGAAUUUAGGGGAAGGGGACUAAUUAUGAAGAUAUGGGCAGGUAAAGCUGGGGAGAUUGCAGAGCCAAAGAGCUGUAAACUCUCCCAGGCCUUCUGAACAUGGAGAAGGUUCCAUCAUAGGAACAGGAAGGAGAGCCACGCAAAGGAGUCCAUCUGGGGAGAGCUGUGGGCCACCACAUAGAGACAAGCCUGAAAGUGAGCCCAUCCAUCAUGCCCCACCCCCUCAGAUCUUUGGCCAAGGCCAUAGAAGCCAUCUUCCAAGGUGACAAAGACACCAACACAGGACAGGAAUAUCAGAGAUCUGGCAGCCAUAAUCCUGAGAGCAGUUAGAAGCCUGGAAUAGGCAAGCUGGUGGUGUCUCCUCCCAACUCCACCUUCUUUCUCCCU
Long non-coding RNA from Mesocricetus auratus (golden hamster), 789 nucleotides. RefSeq lists it as uncharacterized. The transcript is spliced from 3 exons. Lineage: Eukaryota; Metazoa; Chordata; Mammalia; Rodentia; Cricetidae. The record is from RefSeq and is a predicted model, not a curated record.